Molecule: ribosomal RNA, 301 nt
Filed under: uncultured bacterium
Lineage: Bacteria
Description: partial 16S ribosomal RNA
Rfam family: Bacterial small subunit ribosomal RNA
Source: RNAcentral
CAGCCGCCGCGGUAAUACGAAGGGUGCAAGCGUUAAUCGGAAUUACUGGGCGUAAAGCGUGCGUAGGCGGUUUGUUAAGUCUGUUGUGAAAUCCCCGGGCUCAACCUGGGAAUGGCAAUGGAUACUGGCAAGCUAGAGUGUGUCAGAGGAUGGUGGAAUUCCCGGUGUAGCGGUGAAAUGCGUAGAGAUCGGGAGGAACAUCAGUGGCGGAGGCGGCCAUCUGGGACAACACUGACGCUGAGGCACGAAAGCGUGGGGAGCAAACAGGAUUAGAUACCCGCGUAGUCCCUGUCUCUUAUAC